RNAcentral lists this transfer RNA (71 nucleotides) under Loxodonta africana (African savanna elephant). It matches the Rfam family "tRNA". Rfam says of the family: Transfer RNA (tRNA) molecules are approximately 80 nucleotides in length. Lineage: Eukaryota; Metazoa; Chordata; Mammalia; Proboscidea; Elephantidae. The record is from Rfam by way of RNAcentral.
GCAUUGGUAGUUCAGUGGUGGAAUUCUUGCCUUCCACACUGGUUACCAAGGUUCCAUUCCUGGCCAGUGCA